GGGACCUCGUCUCAAUGAGGAAGAAAACUCUUGUAAAAAAUCUUUAGUCUCCAAGGGGAACCCAACACUGGCAGGAGAAAAUAGACUUUCUCAAAGUAGUGAGAAGUUCGGACCCCAAGCUCAAGCAUCGAGAAUAAGCAUCAAAUUUGAAUGGCCUUGAAAAGACCUUCGAUCAUGAACAAAAAGGGCGAAUCAACACGGC
Molecule: long non-coding RNA, 202 nt
Filed under: Elaeis guineensis (African oil palm)
Lineage: Eukaryota; Viridiplantae; Streptophyta; Magnoliopsida; Arecales; Arecaceae
Description: long non-coding RNA (EGUI_LNC060959)
Source: RNAcentral